Phrynosoma platyrhinos (Desert horned lizard) is the source of this 72-nucleotide non-coding RNA. The record is from the annotation of a GenBank genome assembly. Lineage: Eukaryota; Metazoa; Chordata; Lepidosauria; Squamata; Phrynosomatidae.
GCCUGUGUGGCAUAGUGGUUUGAGUACUGAACUAUGACUACGGAGACUAGGAUUUGAUUCCCAGCUCUGCCA